This 78-nucleotide transfer RNA is filed under the name Armillaria borealis. It matches the Rfam family "tRNA". From Rfam's summary of the family: Transfer RNA (tRNA) molecules are approximately 80 nucleotides in length. Their secondary structure includes four short double-helical elements and three loops (D, anti-codon, and T loops). Lineage: Eukaryota; Fungi; Basidiomycota; Agaricomycetes; Agaricales; Physalacriaceae. The record is from Rfam by way of RNAcentral.
GGCCGUGUGGCGUAAUGGCAACGCGUCUGACUACGAAGCGUUAUCAGGAGAUUGCAGGUUCGACCCCUGUCUCGGUCA